CCUACGGGUGGCAGCAGUGGGGAAUAUUGCGCAAUGGGCGAAAGCCUGACGCAGCGACGCCGCGUGAGGGAUGAAGGUCUUCGGAUCGUAAACCUCUGUCAGCAGGGAAGAACGGUCACUGUGCUAAUCAGCAAUGAAUUGACGGUACCUGCAAAGGAAGCACAGGCUAACUCCGUGCCAGCAGCCGCAGUAAUACGGAGGGUGCGAGCGUUAAUCGGAAUUACGGGGCGUAAAGCGCUCGUAGGCGGUAUGUCAAGUCAAGGGUGAAAUCCCCGCGCUCAACGUGGGAACUGCCUUUGAAACUGGCAAACUGGAGUGUGUGAGAGGAUAGUGGAAUUCCAGGUGUAGGAGUGAAAUCCGUAGAUAUCUGGAGGAACAUCAGUGGCGAAGGCGACUAUCUGGCACAUAACUGACGCUGAGGAGCGAAAGCGUGGGUAGCAAACAGGAUUAGAUACCCGAGUAGUC
RNAcentral lists this ribosomal RNA (465 nucleotides) under uncultured bacterium. Its description in RNAcentral is "partial 16S ribosomal RNA". It matches the Rfam family "Bacterial small subunit ribosomal RNA", at positions 338 to 795 of the family's 1533-position model. The record is from RNAcentral.